ACUCACAGGCAUGAAUAGCAUGUUUUUGUCCAUGCCCGUCAAGGAGGGAGGACUUGGACUGCGUUCUCUCUCCACGCAACACAUUGCACGACUGGCCGUAGGCGCUAACAGCAUGUCCAUCAGCACAGACACCGUCUCUAGGGUUGUGGCUGAUACCACAACCCUGCGAAAGCCCUUGCUCUCGGCCCUGGAGCACUUUGCAGUCCCCACAGCUACCAAAAGUGCUAUCCGGGAAGGAAAGCGCAACCUCCUUCGGGCGGAGAUCGCUCAGCUCUCGGAAACGUACCAAGGCAGCUGUCUUCCAUCUUUUAAACAUGGGUCUCUGGUUAAUUCCUGGCUGCGAGGCACUAGUGGCAUGCGUAGUCGGGAUUACAUCACCGGGUUGAAACUGCGGUUCGGAGUUAUCGAGACGCGCAGUCAGAAGUGGAGGGGCCGAACUCCACAGAACCCGGACGCGCUGCUGUGUAGGCACUGUGGUCACUCCUCCGGUAACCGGGAGACAGCCGCACAUGUCUCACAGAAGUGUCUCGUGACACACGCGCUGAUCGUCCAGAGACACAACAAGAUCGUGCGUCUUGUUGGGGACCGUGCGAAGGAUGAAGGCUUCGCAGUGCAUGUCGAGACGGCCGUUAAGUCAGGGGAGGAGGUUUACAAACCUGACUUAAUACUCAUAAAAGCCGACACCGCACACAUAAUAGACGUCGCAGUGCCAUGGGAAAAAGGCACAAAUAUGCACGAAAAGCAUGAAAGGAAAACUAACAAGUACGCACAACUGGCAGACGACGUCAAGGCUCUCUUUGGCGUUCAAAACUGCACGGUAGGGGCUUUAGUAAUCGGCGCGCGCUCCAGCUGGUGUACAAGCAAUGACGGAUCACUGAAAGCAUGCGGAUUGCACUUGCCCAAGAAGUUCAAGAGACUACUCUGCAGGGUUGCACUCGAAGGCACCUGCAGAAUAUUCCGAACUUCUUCACACGCACAUAAGCACCAAAGGAAAAAAAAAAAAAAAAAAAAAAAAAAAAAAAAAAAAAAAAAAAACCAAAAACAUUGAUAAAAUACAAAAGACAAAAACACUAUAAAACCCAAAUAAAACAAAAAAAAAUGGCCUUGCCUGUUACCCUGCAUGCUGCCGCCGCUCCACCAGCUCCAUCCUCUGGAGCAUAGGGCAGCGGCACACCUAACAUUACUUUUAGGACUGACGGUGAAGAUUUGACGACUGAAGCCGACGACUCCGACGCAGAGCCCUGGCAGAAACCCGAACACUCGCCGCCCCAUGCGAAAGAAAACACAGAAGAUCGGAACACUGAGGAACAGUCAGAACCAUAUACGACACCUCAAACUCUGCGAACAUCCGAAAAUCCAGAAAUCCAAAGAAGGCGCAGACUGCACAGAACGACUACACGAAGGGAUUGCGCACGAAGAACAGACCACAAUUGGACGCCAGAACGCGGCACCACUCACCCCCAGAAGCAGGGCCCAUAACUGAUGUCCCACACCUUAUAACCCCCCACCACUUCUCUCUCCCCAGUAGUAUUGUUAAAACACGGUACCGGCCGUUAACCGGGCUGCAAUGCAGUACAUCAAGAAUUGAUUUAUGGUUGUAACAUUGUCUAUAAUCUGUCUCUAAUAAAGUCCCAUUGGUGCGCGUCAUAAAUUAGACUGACGGCAGCAGGCACUUUCCUUCGGGAGAGUCCUGCAAAUUCAGCAACUAGCCAAAUGCCUCGUCAUCUAAUUAGUGACGCGUAUGAAUGGAUCAACAAGAUUCCUUCUGUCCCUAUCUACUAUCUAGCGAAACCACAGCCAAGGGAACGGGCUUGGCAAAAUCAGCGGGGAAAGAAGACCCUGUUGAGCUUGACUCUAGUCUGACUCUGUGAAGAGACAUGAAAGGUGUAGCAUAGGUGGGAGAUUGUCAAAUUGCCAUCGUUCGCGCGGUGGUCCGGUGAUCGCCAAUGAAAUACCACUACUUUGAUCGUUUCUUUACUUAUUCGGUAAAGCGAAAAAAUUGUGGCCAAUUUGGCGGUGUUUAUGUCGCUGUUGGUCAUUGUUUUCAUGUUAGAUUGAAGCUUUGUUUACAGCCGUCGCUUUGUGUCGCCAUUUGACGCAUUGUUGUACUGGGUUAUCCCGGUGUGUGGUGUAGUCAGUAUGGAUGAUCGGCGAUAGGUUUGAAGUGAUUCGCUCCGGAAACAGUGUCAGACGGGGAGUUUGACUGGGGCGGUACAUCUGUUAAACGAUAACGCAGGUGUCCUAAGGUAAGCUCAGCGAGGACAGAAACCUCGCUUAGAGUAAACGGGCACAAGCUUACUUGAUUUUGAUUUCCAGUACGAAUAGAAACCGCGAAAGCGUGGCCUAUCGAUCCUUUUGAUUGUGUAGAUUUCAUGCAAGAGGUGUCAGAAAAGUUACCACAGGGAUAACUGGCUUGUGGCAGCCAAGCGUCCAUAGCGACGUUGCUUUUUGAUCCUUCGAUGUCGGCUCUUCCUAUCAUUGCGAAGCAGAAUUCGCCAAGCGUUGGAUUGUUCACCCACCAAUAGGGAACGUGAGCUGGGUUUAGACCGUCGUGAGACAGGUUAGUUUUACCCUACUGAUGACAAGUCGUUGCGAUAGUAAUCCUGCUCAGUACGAGAGGAACCGCGGGAUCAGACAUUUGGUUCAUGCGCUCGGCUGAAAGGCCGGUGGCGCGAAGCUAGCAUCUGCAAGAUUAUGACUGAACGCCUCUAAGUCAGAAUCUUUUCUAGUCAUUGGCAACGAUAAGUUGCGUCCAGACUCGAUGCGAGGAAACGAUUAGGCUUUGCUAUACGGCGAAGCCAUUAUCAGACCACGGUAGCAGGCAGUAUGGAUUGUUACGAAAAAGCAAUUUUUGAAGUCAGUUGAAUUCAAUCAAACUGCUAACAAUU
RNAcentral lists this ribosomal RNA (2888 nucleotides) under Trichinella murrelli. RNAcentral describes it as "eukaryotic LSU rRNA". The stretch from base 1564 to 2888 matches the Rfam family "Eukaryotic large subunit ribosomal RNA", at positions 1891 to 3316 of the family's 3401-position model. Lineage: Eukaryota; Metazoa; Nematoda; Enoplea; Trichinellida; Trichinellidae. The record is from RNAcentral.